This 220-nucleotide long non-coding RNA is filed under the name Setaria italica (foxtail millet). RNAcentral describes it as "long non-coding RNA (SITA_LNC005101)". Lineage: Eukaryota; Viridiplantae; Streptophyta; Magnoliopsida; Poales; Poaceae. The record is from RNAcentral.
AGAAAUAGAUGGCGGCGAUUGCGGAAAUGGUCGCGGGCACGCGCGGCGGUCUUCCGUCCGGCACGCGGCAAAAUUUGCGGGGAACGAAAAAAGAGGGUUGACGACAUCGGGUGCCGGGACGGCGGGUCCGACGGGAAGGAAGGGAUAUUUCGGGAGCUCAACGGUCGGAAAAAAAUUUGGAAUACAUUUUUAACGAGUGAUUUAAUUUGGUAGAUUUUUA